Schistosoma mattheei is the source of this 45-nucleotide non-coding RNA. Lineage: Eukaryota; Metazoa; Platyhelminthes; Trematoda; Strigeidida; Schistosomatidae. The record is from Rfam.
AUCCAGCUGACAAGUCCCAAACAGAACGAAACGCGCGUCCUGGAU